GACGAACGCUGGCGGCGUGCUUAACACAUGCCAGUCGAACGGAAAGGCCCUGCUUUUGUGGGGUGCUCGAGUGGCGAACGGGUGAGUAACACGUGAGUAACCUGCCCUUGACUUUGGGAUAACUUCAGGAAACUGGGGCUAAUACUGAUAGGAGCUCCUGCUGCAUGGUGGGGGUUGGAAAGUUUCGGCGGUUGGGGAUGGACUCGCGGCUUAUCAGCUUGUUGGUGGGGUAGUGGCUUACCAAGGCUUUGACGGGUAGCCGGCCUGAGAGGGUGACCGGCCACAUUGGGACUGAGAUACGGCCCAGACUCCUACGGGAGGCAGCAGUGGGGAAUAUUGCACAAUGGGCGGAAGCCUGAUGCAGCAACGCCGCGUGCGGGAUGACGGCCUUCGGGUUGUAAACCGCUUUCGCCUGUGACGAAGCGUGAGUGACGGUAAUGGGUAAAGAAGCACCGGCUAACUACGUG
This 467-nucleotide ribosomal RNA is filed under the name uncultured bacterium. RNAcentral describes it as "partial 16S ribosomal RNA". It matches the Rfam family "Bacterial small subunit ribosomal RNA", at positions 28 to 507 of the family's 1533-position model. The record is from RNAcentral.